GAUGAACGCUGGCGGCGUGCCUAAUACAUGCAAGUCGAGCGAACAGACGAGGAGCUUGCUCCUCUGACGUUAGCGGCGGACGGGUGAGUAACACGUGGAUAACCUACCUAUAAGACUGGUAUAACUUCGGGAAACCGGAGCUAAUACCGGAUAAUAUAUUGAACCGCAUGGUUCAAUAGUGAAAGACGGUUUUGCUGUCACUUAUAGAUGGAUCCGCGCCGCAUUAGCUAGUUGGUAAGGUAACGGCUUACCAAGGCAACGAUGCGUAGCCGACCUGAGAGGGUGAUCGGCCACACCGGAACUGAGACACGGUCCAGACUCCUACGGGAGGCAGCAGUAGGGAAUCUUCCGCAAUGGGCGAAAGCUUGACGGAGCAACGCCGCGUGAGUGAUGAAGGUCUUCGGAUCGUAAAACUCUGUUAUUAGGGAAGAACAAAUGUGUAAGUAACUAUGCACGUCUUGACGGUACCUAAUCAGAAAGCCACGGCUAACUACGUG
This 497-nucleotide ribosomal RNA is filed under the name uncultured bacterium. RNAcentral describes it as "partial 16S ribosomal RNA". It matches the Rfam family "Bacterial small subunit ribosomal RNA", at positions 28 to 507 of the family's 1533-position model. The record is from RNAcentral.